GUUAGGAAUAUUGGACAAUGGGCGCAAGCCUGAUCCAGCCAUGCCGCGUGAGUGAUGAAGGCCUUCGGGUUGUAAAGCUCUUUAGCCGAUGAUUAUAAUGACUGUAGUCGGAAAAUAAGCCCCGGCUAACUCCGUGCCAGCAGCCGCGGUAAUACGGAGGGGGCGAGCGUUGUUCGGAAUCACUGGGCGUAAAGCGUGCGUAGGCGGUUAUACAAGUCAGGAGUGAAAUCCCAGGGCUCAACCUUGGAAUUGCUUUUGAGACUGUAUGACUAGAGACCUAGAGAGGUUGGGGGAAUUCCCAGUGUAGCAGUGAAAUGCGCAGAUAUUGGGAGGAACACCAGUGGCGUAAGCGGCUAUCUGGACGAGUAUUGACGCUGAGGCACGAAAGCGUGGGGAUCAAACAGGAUUAGAUACCCCGGUAGUCC
Molecule: ribosomal RNA, 425 nt
Filed under: uncultured bacterium
Lineage: Bacteria
Description: partial 16S ribosomal RNA
Rfam family: Bacterial small subunit ribosomal RNA
Source: RNAcentral